UGGCUGGGUUCUUCUGCAGGGGUCAGAAACUGGGGGAAGGGAAGAGAAGGCCCUGGGCUCGAGAGGUUGAGGGGAGUGACGGGCGAGAUAUGCAAAGAGGUGCCAGGAUGCCAGCCACAUGGACUCUGUGACAGGUACCCGCAUGCCGAGCCAGCCCAAGACCAACAGGCACCUUGUAUGCCACUGGGCACCAGUAAGCCAUUCCUGCUGAGUGUCUUUGGAACCUGACACACCUAUCAUGGCCGUCAGAAAAAGCAACUCUUCUCCACGUGGCUGAAUCAAGACUAUGUUACACUCUUAAGCAUUGAGUGACCUCCGAAGGUCACACCCUGAAAUCUAACCACCAACAUGAAGCAGCCAUUCCCAGCCCUGCCAAGAAGAGACUUCAGGAGAGGCAGCACAUUCAUCCUGUGCCCCUCCCCCACUUCUCCCAAGCCACCUUCUUCAAGGCAAGUCUGUCUCUCCACAAAAAACGAGGGACCAUUAAGGCAGACCUGAGUUACGAGUGAUGGUGACACACCAGAACAAAAACAUGGAUUUUUAGGAUGGGCAUAGUGCACGCCUAUAAUCCUAGCACUUGGGAGGUGGAGGCAGGAGGAUCAGGAGCUUAAGAUGAGUUUGAGUUGGAGCUACAUGAGACCUUUCCUCAAAACAAAACAAAACUUCACAGAAAUUACUAUUUUGAGCUGGGGGUAACAGCAAUAUGCCUGCAAUCCAGUACUUGGGACAGCGAGGAAGGCAAGAGGUUAGCAAACUGAGACCACCCUGGGUUACAACCAUGGAGAGAGCGAGCUGGAGAGAUCAAGAAAGACAUCCGGAAGUGUGUGACACACUUUCUGUCACUCCCAUUUUCACACUCAGUCACACUCAUGUUGGCACACUGUUUUUAAAAAUCAACAAAAGGAAAGAACCCAAGGAAACACUCCA
Molecule: long non-coding RNA, 927 nt
Organism: Mesocricetus auratus (golden hamster)
Lineage: Eukaryota; Metazoa; Chordata; Mammalia; Rodentia; Cricetidae
Exons: 3
Source: RefSeq, a predicted model, not a curated record